RNAcentral lists this transfer RNA (72 nucleotides) under Perca flavescens (yellow perch). It matches the Rfam family "tRNA". From Rfam's summary of the family: Transfer RNA (tRNA) molecules are approximately 80 nucleotides in length. The record is from Rfam by way of RNAcentral. Lineage: Eukaryota; Metazoa; Chordata; Actinopteri; Perciformes; Percidae.
GCAUUGGUGGUUCAGUGGUAGAAUUCUCAUUUGCCACGCUGGAGACCCCGGGUCCGAUUCCCGGCCAAUGCA